RNAcentral lists this non-coding RNA (191 nucleotides) under Papillibacter sp. RNAcentral describes it as "6S RNA". It matches the Rfam family "6S / SsrS RNA". Rfam says of the family: E. coli 6S RNA was the first non coding RNA to be sequenced, but its function was unknown until recently. It consists of 184 nucleotides that fold into an extended hairpin structure with a large single-stranded internal bulge. Lineage: Bacteria; Bacillati; Bacillota; Clostridia; Eubacteriales; Oscillospiraceae. The record is from RNAcentral.
UAGUCCCUGCUGUGUGCGUGACGGGUCUAUUUAAACCCACAUCACCUAUAAGGGAUGCCGAACUCCUGUUGUGAAUUGCAGGCCUCCCCGGAUUUAUCCGGGACGUUGGAAGCAGAGAAACAACAGGGAGGCGACCCACCUGCAUCUUUGUGCAGGUUAUAAACGGGCUCGCACGGCACGAGCGGGGCUGA